GGGGAAUUUUGGACAAUGGGGGAAACCCUGAUCCAGCCAUGCCGCGUGUAUGAAGAAGGCCUUAGGGUUGUAAAGUACUUUUGUUAGGGAAGAAAAGCUAAUUUUUAAUAAAAAUUAGUGAUGACGGUACCUAAAGAAUAAGCACCGGCUAACUACGUGCCAGCAGCCGCGGUAAUACGUAGGGUGCAAGCGUUAAUCGGAAUUAUUGGGCGUAAAGCGAGUGCAGACGGUUACUUAAGCCAGAUGUGAAAUCCCCAAGCUUAACUUGGGACGUGCAUUUGGAACUGGGUGACUAGAGUGUGUCAGAGGGAGGUAGAAUUCCACAUGUAGCGGUGGAAUGCGUAGAGAUGUGGAGGAAUACCGAUGGCGAAGGCAGCCUCCUGGGAUAACACUGACGUUGAGGCUCGAAAGCGUGGGGAGCAAACAGGAUUAGAUACCCUGGUAGUCCACGCCCUAAACGAUGACAAUUAGCUGUUGGGCUUUGAAAGGCUUAGUAGCGAAGCUAACGCGAGAAAUUGUCCGCCUGGGGAGUACGGUCGCAAGAUUA
This 547-nucleotide ribosomal RNA is filed under the name uncultured bacterium. Its description in RNAcentral is "bacterial SSU rRNA". It matches the Rfam family "Bacterial small subunit ribosomal RNA", at positions 356 to 896 of the family's 1533-position model. The record is from RNAcentral.